CGGGUGCGUAACACGUGGGCAAUCUGCCCUGCACUCUGGGACAAGCCCUGGAAACGGGGUCUAAUACCGGAUACGACACAGGAAGGCAUCUUCUCUGUGUGGAAAGCUCCGGCGGUGCAGGAUGAGCCCGCGGCCUAUCAGCUUGUUGGUGGGGUGAUGGCCUACCAAGGCGACGACGGGUAGCCGGCCUGAGAGGGCGACCGGCCACACUGGGACUGAGACACGGCCCAGACUCCUACGGGAGGCAGCAGUGGGGAAUAUUGCACAAUGGGCGAAAGCCUGAUGCAGCGACGCCGCGUGAGGGAUGACGGCCUUCGGGUUGUAAACCUCUUUCAGCAGGGAAGAAGCGCAAGUGACGGUACCUGCAGAAGAAGCACCGGCUAACUACGUGCCAGCAGCCGCGGUAAUACGUAGGGUGCGAGCGUUGUCCGGAAUUAUUGGGCGUAAAGAGCUCGUAGGCGGCUUGUCACGUCGGAUGUGAAAGCCCGGGGCUUAACCCCGGGUCUGCAUUCGAUACGGGCAGGCUAGAGUUCGGUAGGGGAGAUCGGAAUUCCUGGUGUAGCGGUGAAAUGCGCAGAUAUCAGGAGGAACACCGGUGGCGAAGGCGGAUCUCUGGGCCGAUACUGACGCUGAGGAGCGAAAGCGUGGGGAGCGAACAGGAUUAGAUACCCUGGUAGUCCACGCCGUAAACGUUGGGAACUAGGUGUGGGCGACAUUCCACGUCGUCCGUGCCGCAGCUAACGCAUUAAGUUCCCCGCCUGGGGAGUACGGCCGCAAGGCUAAAACUCAAAGGAAUUGACGGGGGGCCCGCA
This 812-nucleotide ribosomal RNA is filed under the name Streptomyces daliensis. RNAcentral's name for it is "bacterial SSU rRNA". It matches the Rfam family "Bacterial small subunit ribosomal RNA", at positions 103 to 925 of the family's 1533-position model. Lineage: Bacteria; Bacillati; Actinomycetota; Actinomycetes; Kitasatosporales; Streptomycetaceae. The record is from RNAcentral.